Molecule: ribosomal RNA, 497 nt
Filed under: uncultured bacterium
Lineage: Bacteria
Description: partial 16S ribosomal RNA
Rfam family: Bacterial small subunit ribosomal RNA
Source: RNAcentral
GAUGAACGCUGGCGGCGUGCCUAAUACAUGCAAGUCGAGCGAACAGACGAGGAGCUUGCUCCUCUGACGUUAGCGGCUGACGGGUGAGUAACACGUGGAUAACCUACCUAUAAGACUGGGAUAACUUCGGGAAACCGGAGCUAAUACCGGAUAAUAUAUUUAACCGCAUGGUUCAAUAGUUAAAGACGGUUUUGCUGUCACUUAUAGAUGUAUCCGCGCCGCAUUAGCUAGUUGGUAAGGUAACGGCUUACCAAGGCGACGAUGCGUAGCCGACCUGAGAGGGUGAUCGGCAACACUGGAACUGAGACACGGUCCAGACUCCUACGGGAGGCAGCAGUAGGGAAUCUUCCGAAAUGGGCGAAAGCCUGACGGAGCAACGCCGCGUGAGUGAUGAAGGUCUUCGGAUCGUAAAACUCUGUUAUUAGGGAAGAACGACUGUGUAAGUAACUAUGCACGUAUUGACGGUACCUAAUCAGAAAGCCACGGCUAACUACGUG